This is a long non-coding RNA of Apis cerana (Asiatic honeybee), 16645 nucleotides long. RefSeq lists it as uncharacterized. Lineage: Eukaryota; Metazoa; Arthropoda; Insecta; Hymenoptera; Apidae. The record is from RefSeq and is a predicted model, not a curated record.
UACCCCUGCAAAUAAAUAAAUGAAUUUUUAAAUUAGAAAAAGUCUGGGAAAAAUUGUGAAAAUGCAUAUGGAACGAUAUAUCGACGAUUAAAAAAUUUUUUAAAUAUUUCAUUAUUAUAGUAAAUGAGUAAUAUGCGAGUAUAUUUGAGGCCUUUAAUUACUACCGAUUCAAUAAAAUGUCGAUCAAAAAAUUCAUCUAAAUUGUUUAAUGAUAUAUUUCGAUGAUCCGUUUUGAAAUUACUUGCUGUAACCCGAUGAUCAACCUCUAGAAAGCGAAGUUGCGCGGCCAACGCUCUUGCCAAGCCACUCUUUCGAUCCUUAGCUCUUUCGAUCUCUAAGUCUUAAGAACAACGGUGAAAGCAUCGCCGUUAAUCGCACGAGCCUUGUUUCUUUUUAUAACAGGGCCGUUUUUCCAUUGCGCGAACGACCCGUGUUUGGGAACGUGUGUCACGAGUUCUGGAAGAACUUGCUCGUACAAAGGAUCGAUGAAGCGAAAGAAUCGAUCAAAUGAAUAUCAUUGUUAGAGAGUAUAGUAAAAAAUCAUUUUUAACCGAAUAUUAUUUUAAAUCAACGCAUUUUUUGCUUUUUGAAUAUAAUUCUAUAAUGGCAUGAAAUAAAACAAAUUGAAUUUUAAAUUGAAAAAUAUAUAAUCUAUUAUUCUUUACAUACACAUAAACUUUUGUUCAAAUCAAAUCAGAAUCGAAUUAAGCUUAAUUUCUCUGUAAAAUAAUAUCUAUAAUUAAAUAUAUCUAUUUUUGUUCAGGCAAUCAUCGUGGUUAUUUCGCGUGAAUACUUCCGAGCGGAAAGUAUGUUACACGUCGAUUUAAUUAUCAACGAGCAUAAAACUAUUAACGGCUAGGUUGAUUUUGCAGUGGGAAAAAUUUUACGACACCGAAUAGCAUGAGAUCAUCGAUGCAAUUAUCAGUGGUAUUAACCUGGAUCGGCCAGAUUACGUAGGGAACACAUACCAUGGACAAAAAUCUGUGAUACCUUGGCCGAUAAAAUCCUUACACUGUUCGCGUGCGUUCCAUUUCAGAAUUUUUCCAGCCUAGCCGGGUUAUCUUCGCAGCGUUCCAAGUAUCAACAUCGAUGCUUUUCACUCGAUAAACUGGUCGCGAGAUCGACGUCGCGGAACGGCUUAUUCGUGUCCUGCGAUAAGUCUCACCACAAGUUUCUCCGACAAGUGAGAACCACGGUCUAGGUAUGUAGGUUGGCAAAUACCGAUAGAAUUGCCAACGAUCGUGGUCAGAUUGUACCGAAUGGAGUUGCGUUAUCUACGUUCUAAUUACAGAUCUAUCUGACGUUCCUUCGAGUAUACACCGAACAAAGGGGAAAACAGAACCAUGCUCGAUCCUCUUUGAUAUUAACUAUUCGUUUCACGAUGAAUGACAGGGCGAAUGAAAGUAUAGCGCGGCGAAUCUAUGGAAAGGAAACUGCUUUGACGAAGGUUUUAACGAGAUGGCGCUCUUCAAAGGGGAAAGGCAAUCGUUCUCGAGCAACGGGAGAUCGUGAUAAUUGGUGGUUAUUUGAAGUUUCGUUUAUCCAAGAGUUCUAAUUUUCGAGCGAGAAUCGCCUUGCUAUAAUUACCGCGUCGCAAUCACUGUUUUUAUUGUAUCGAAUUUAUUUACAGUUGCGCCAUCAGGCGGGACAAAAUUGCGACUUUUGUUGCAUCGCGAGAGGUUAGUUUGCGAGUUUUCCUCGAUGAGGAAGCGAAGUUUUCGAUCGGGUCAGCGGGAGAAAUGCGGACAAAGGCAGGUUUACGUAAUAAACGUAAAUGCUAGGAAACAAGUUCAGAACUGAAGGAAGUGAACGCAGUGUGUACUCGUCGUGGCUGCAUUGCUAUACACGUGAUCUCGAUUUCCCUGGUCGAGCCCAGGUCGAACUCCCACGCUCCCUUCUUUCCGCGCACGUAUGCACGAUUCUCGUAAAGAUCGCACGCCUUCGUUCAACAAAUCGCAUCUACCUUCCACUCUAAUUUGUCUUGGAAAACGCAAUAUAUCGGCCGUCUUGAGCAAUUCUCGUCGCGAUAUUACCUUUGAUUCGUGCUCGAUCUCCUCGCAAGCAACUCGUUUUGUUUUAAUUCCGACUCGAUGGUUCAAAAUAUUGUGCAACGAUGAGACGCUACGAGAAAUUACGCGAUCAAAAUUAUUUAAGAUUAGAAACAAAUUCUAACGAAAUAUGCACGGUGAUAAGAGGAACAAAAGUCGAAAUUGUAUAAUAGUAUUCGUCUCGUCGAAGUAGCACCUGCGAGAACAGCUAUCGUAUUUGUUCUACGUCGUGAACGAAUUUUAUUAUUCCCGUAAUAGCGAGGAGGCAGCUGCAAACACCUAACAGGUGGUGCGAUAUAAAUCGGGGCCAAAAUUUUACGUGCAACCGUUACCGAAGAGCUCGUUUCUAUUUUAACCGCUUUGCAACCACGGACGAGAUAUUUCGCGAUGCAAUACCGUUCUUAUGCCACGAACGAGGUAUCUCGCGAGUUUAUUAGGACAAGAGUCGAUUCUAGUGUUAUUCUAUUCAAUAAAAUAUUCAGUUGUUGAGAAAAUUACAGAUUUUUUUACAUAUAGAAUAGUAUUCUUUAUUAGUUUGAUAAACGACAUUCAAAUUCGAUAUUUUAUUUUCGUUGUGACGAUAUUUGUUUUACAAAAUAUCUUGUGCUUGUGAAGUAACAAAAUUAACGAAAGUACAAAAUUCAUUUUCUAUAAAAAGAGAAACAUUAUUUUCGAAAGAUCGAAACUUUCGCGUGAGAAUAUAUCUCACAGAAUCAACGUGCGAAUCGCUCGAGCGAAAUUAAUGACGAGGUUAUGAAAUACAAUGAAUUUUAAACAGUUUAAAUCCGAAUUUGAAUGAAAUAUAUUAGCUGAGAAAAACAAAGUUGAAUCAAAAUCUAAUGAGAAGUCUUGACUAUGUCUCUGUUCAUAUUCAAAUUUCUUGAAAAUAUAAAGUGCUCGACAACUCGUCAGAAAUUAAUUAUGGAAGCAUUGAAUCCUAACCUUCAAGUAUUAUGAGAUUCAACUUUCGUCUAAAUGAAUUCGCUCAAACUAAAUUACAAUUGACACAAAAAGAUACAAACUCAACUAUAAUUGACUCUUUUAUAACAUGAUAUUUUGAAAAUAUAUGAUAAAACAGUGCAAAAAUUGUGAUAAUAUAUCCUAUAUUAAUAAAUUUAGACAAUUCGUAUAGCAUGAUACAUAUCAUACUUUUUUUUUUGAACACAUUAUUUAUCACUAGCCUAUUUAAUAGAUUGUACACUCAAUAUUAAUAUCAGUAACUUAUAAAUUGGCGUUUUAACAUUCGGUUAUCGAUUGUUGAAAUUCAUUGGCUUUUUCUUAAAUCUGUUAAAGACAGUAAUAGAAAAAUUGUUAAACACAUUUACUUGUGCCAUCAGCUAAUAAUAGUUUUACUUAUUUUUUCAAAGUUAUAAUAAUUUUCUGAUCCUCAAAAAUGAAACGAAAGUAAGUAUUUUUAUUAUUUGUCAAAGUAUUCUAAUUACUUGUUGGACGAUACGAUGAUAAAAAUGAAUAUUGAUAAUUCGAAGACGUUUACCUAACCUUACUUCUACAAUAUAUUGACUCGGAAAGUGAUAAUGAUACAAAUAUUGAUAAUGUGUAUUAAGAUUUUAUUUUACUUCACUCAUUUCUACCUGACAGUUAAAACUCUUUAAAGAAUUCAGAUUAAACUGAUUAAUUUGUUAUAUAUAUUUAUUUAAUUCACAACCGGAAAAUUGACUACAUUAAUUCACUCCUUGAACCGUGUAUUCCUCAUUGACAUGAUUCCUCAAUUGCGAAAGAGAGCGAGACACGCGAGAAACUAAAUUCGUGUUUCAAGAAAUAGAGAUUCUGCAUUCGAUGAAAGGAGAUGUUCGACUUCUAUGUGGCGAUAGUAGAAACCAAGCCUGAUCAACGGGUUUUGAUGAGAAAUCACAAGACCCAAGUCUGGCGCUUCGGAUUUCUCCGCGGAAAUGUAAAGUAGCAGGUAAUCAAAAAAUUACUCGAAAAGGAAAUAUAUAUAAAUGAUACGUUUCUUUUAUAUGAAUUUUCAAAAAUGAAAAUAUUCACAAAAAUUUGCACUUUCUUAUAAUUGUUCAUUCACAAAUAACCAAUGAAACAAAUAAGGAACGUCUAAAUAAAAUAAAACACAACGAACAGAAAUAGAAAAUUACUUUGAUAGAAAAUGAUUAAUUAUGAAACAAAUUUUAAUUAUAAAAUGAAAAAGUUUGAAAGCUGCCAAUGAACAUGUGAAAAAAUCAAGAACGUGAACUAAUAAUUGAACGAAAAAUUCAUUUCUGAUAGAGAAAUUAUGUAAUAUGAACUUCUAUUAUACGAACAAUCUGAUUAUGUGAACGUGUUUGUUAUUCAAUAUAUAAAUGAAAAGUUCAACUAUAAAUAUACAAAUAAUAAAACUUAUAUCUCAUGAUUGAUAUUACUUCGUAAGAUUAACUAUGUGAGAAAUGGUUAUGCAAUUACGUAUACGCAGUGUUGUUCAAUUUAUCGCGGUUUCCCGCGACUCGAAUCGAAAGGCAGUAGCUUCCGUAAGAGAGGAAGGCAAAUCUUGCCGCGGUGCGAGUUUUUUGCCAAAUUAAAGUCGUUAGAGGAUAAACGAGAGACUUGCUGGAACAGCCAAGUGGCAAGAAAUCUUCUUCGUGGAGGGUCUAAUCGCAAGGCGUGCGUUGAAGCUCGCGAUCCUACCGCCAUCUUCCAAGAAGGAAACGAAAAGAACAGAAUAUCUCGAAGAAAGCAAUUUCUCAGGACGCGAAAACGUAGCGGGAUCCAUUCGUCAAAGUUGAAGCCAACGACAUCGUUGAACAACGGUUCGAAUUUACGAGCUCCACGAAGCGCGAAUAGCGUCAAAGUUGCAGCUCGACACGCCACCAAGGUAUACCGAGCAGGAAACUGGACUGUUCCACUGCUGAGCUUCUCCGGUUGAAGAAAUUCUUGGACACUUCCUGCUCUUCGAUCUCCGCGACUGAUACGCGUUUCACAGGCCACGUUAACCUUGAGGCCAUCCCGAGUUAAUGAGAAAACCGGAGAAAGAACGUUCGGUUUUACAGAUUGUUUUACCAGUUUUCGCAGGUUGAUUAGAUCCAAGCAUAGAUCGUAAUUAUUCAUCAAGACAAGAAAACAAUUAUAUUUUUUUUUGUUAGGAAGGAUAAAUAGCAAUUGAAAAUGUUAUAUAGAGAUGCUAUAAAAGCAAGGAAUGGAUGAAAUCAAGCAUCACUGUUCAGAAAACAAUAUCUUUUUCACUUGUUUCAUACGGAUAGAGAUAAUUUAACCUAACUAAAGCACAAUGUUUAAGUACAAUCUAAUCAAUCUAUCAUUUUAAAUGUAAAUUGUAUAGCAUCUAUACAUACGAUACCUAUCAUUUCUAAUUUUUAAACUCGAAAUAUUCGAUUUUCUCAUUUUUUUUCUUUUUCAGAAAUUUUGCAAUACCUAUACCUACAAACCGCCAUUCAUAAGGAUCAUCGUGGAAUCGUUUGCGCUUGAUUUUGUGAACACAAGGUUUAAUAUUUAAAGACGAGGGAAUACUUUCACUAUGUUUGUUUCUCGUAAGUAGCGGCUAUGUUAUUAUUUCACCGACGAGCCUUUGGCAUCCGCACGAGAGUUAAAGCGUACUUAAGACCUCGGUUCGAUCCCGUUGGUCUGCUUAAAAAAAAGCCCAGCGUCGGCGAUUUCCUCCCCGUCUACGGUGACCCGCCGAAUCUUUGGUUUCACGAAAAUUAUCCAGUUACCGAGAAAUUGACUCUCGUUCCCUUUCCUCGCAGGUGAACGAAGUUCUAACCGAGGCUGAACGACGCUAGUGCCGUCAACUCCAUAGAAAGUUUCAUACACACUUUCACCGUGGUGGAUUGGUGCGAAGCACGUCAGGGUGUCUGUUUGGAGCUUUUACGGUUUCGAGAAGAAGGCAAAUGCGCAUAUCGAGCUCUCGUGUCCCCUUUGCGGUGCGUUUCGUCUCUGUGCACCUCCUCCAGGUUGGUGCAAGAUCAACGACCCAGGGUCAAGAGGAGGAGGUAGAGGAGUCGAGCAGAGCAUCAAGUGCUCGUUGGUGUAGCGUGGCGGACCAGGAAAUCGGUGCCAACGCCGGGAUCGGAGAGUCUGCAACGUCGUGCAACACAACCUUGUGUAUCCAUCUCGUCCUUUAAGGCAUCCAUUAGCUUCCUAACUACUAAACACACCGCUCGGGUCCGACGACCCCGUCCUGCUUCCUACCCACCGCACCGUCCGGUCUACGAGGAACCUCUUCUUCCACCUCUUCCCGAGAGCUUGCCUUUUUAUUUUCCCUACUCUUCCAUCUUCGUCUGCCCCCUUCUGCCAUUUCUUCCUACUCUUUCCUUCCCUCCUCCUCCUUCCCCCGUCCUCUUCUACCCUCCACCAUCGUCCUCUUCGUCCCGAUACCGACGUUCGAGGGUCAUCGACAUCCGCGGCUGGAGACAUUGUACGCAACGUUGUUGCUCGGUUAUCGUGGUUGGCCGCGCACCUUGCGCGCGUUAACUUCGUCCGAUGCCCUCAUCGAACCUCGCACCUGACACGUUCAAGAGCAUGGAACGAAGAAUAUACACGCGACAUGUGUGCGUACAUAUAUAUCCCAAUGAGAGAACGAAAUUUCACAACAACGAAUUGCGCAACGAAGGAUCGUAGAACGAAUCGUAACUGGAACGAAUUUCAUCGGAUCGGCAACGCAACGAUGUUGCACAAUGGAGAUUUGCAUUCGAGUGCAGUGAGACGGUACGGCCUCUGCCUACCUGUCCGCUAAUUUCCUUAAUUGCCAGCCAGAGUGUAAUUAACGACGACCGAGUCGCUCCGAUUUCCAUGAUAUACGUACCCUCUAAUGAGAUAAAUUUAACCAGGAUCCCUUCCUGGGGGAGAGAAUUAAACGGCGCGGCUCUGGGCUAACUCGAAGCAGUAAAUCUCAAGAUGGAGCAGGAUGUGAUUUCGUAGAAACGACACUUGGAAAGACCAAGCGUCGGUGGAUGCAUCAUCGUCUUUUCCGGAAGGGACGGGCGGAAGGGACGAGUCAUCGAAGAGGCGAGAAGUCAUCCCGGCGAGAGCGUGAACGCGGGCAAACAGAAACGCGUUAUUGCGCGGCGUCAGGCCGACACGUUUGCAGUAUUCUCGUCGAUUGUCGCUCGUUAACGCCAUUGUGUGCCUUGGGGGACGCGCACGUUACGCAAUACACGCACUUGAUACGGCUUGCGGCCGUAUGUCCAGGAUGAACCGAGAAAAAUAACUGGAAUAUCGCGUCUCACCGCCGCAUUGAAAGAGCGAAAGAGAUCGAAGGAGAGGGAAAUACGUGCUCAAUCACGUUUCUCGGAAAGAUCUGGUGGAGGAUUUGACGUCUCGUAGGCAAAAAUAUAUCUUCGAUAAUCCAAUGUUGAUACAUUUUUACAAUUUGUAAUGCAAGAUCGGCUGCAUUCCCGCAAAACCGCUUCGAAAUCGUUUCAUUCGAAAUCUUUUGCGGUCGAGCACCGCAGGAAAUUUUUGCCCCUACGCCGAUUGCGACAUUAACCACGGCGAUGAUUCUCGAUCCUCUUGGGCUCUUUCGACGAGGAGAUCGCGUGAAAUUUCGCUAAAUUAAUUACGUCACUAUCGCUGCACCUUUGCGGCUGAAACUUUCACACCGAUCGUUCGUUGUUUUCGUUCCUUGCUCUAAAGGUAAAUGAUUUUUUGAAAGAUCGAAAAAGAUUAGUUUGGAGGUAAGAUCACGUGAAAUGAAAUGAUCGCGGCAUGCGUGAUUUAUAAUCAAAAAGAAGUGUAAACGAGGAGCACUUGAUAUAAUUUGUACGAAAUUACAGUAAAUUGUAUGAUUUCAGUCGCAAAAGGAAAUCGUGGUUCAAAAAAGCGGAAUUGUGAAUGGAGAAAAAACUUUGAAAACUUUGAACCGAAUACAGCCGAUUCUUUUUCCCAAAGAUUUAUUGGAUUGUGACUGACCAUCACUAAGAACCUUAAUUAUUGCUGUCCACACAAUUGCGGAUCGAUAGUUUUAUUGCUGACUUCACCCAGACAGGUAUAUUUCCAGGUAUGUUUACCAACAACAAUGAAAAGCGUGAAGAAGCGGGCACAAAUGCCGGAACAGAAAAGACGGAGAAUCCUCAUGAUUCGUAAUGUGUGUAAAAGGACAAAAGAGCGCGUUAGCUGAAUUCAUCGAGCGAAAAGAAGAAGAAGAAGAAGAAGAAGAAGGAGAAAAAAGAGAUGGAAUAGAAAGGAGAAGAGGAGAAGGAGGACCGGUCGACUCGAUCGUUCGUCUCGACCGCACGCCAACUUCCUGCUGUCAAUCGUUGAAAUAUGGCCGAUGCGGACCGACCGACCGACCAGUUCGGUUCAUUUCAAAACUUCCCAUCGACGACCGCAAAUAAACCAAGCCACGGAUCCCUCUUUGAUGUUUUGCGAAAAUAAAGCGGACGUUUCCUCUCUUUCGAAUCGAGCAACAUUGUAACGAAGUGCAUGAAGACUACGGGUGCAUUCGUAAACUAUUCGACCGAGUUCGAUUCACCGCGGUGGAUUUUGGAAAAAAAGGAAUAUAUACACAUAUAAGGAAUGUGUGUAACGGGGUGGAGGAAGAUAAGAAUUGCGUGGCACGUCGAACGAAAUUACGAGAGACUGAGGAGGGAACGAAAAAUCCGUUGGUAUGGAAGCAUUGGUUUCUUCGGGGGUCCGGAUUUAGCCACGGAACGCCACGAAAUGCCAAUAAGAGGAUACUUUGAUCGUUGUCGGAAUGAAUGCUCGUCACGAACGAACCAAGGGAUGGGCGACUUCCAAAUUUUGCGAAGAAGUAAAAAAAACUAGCCGGAGAAGGGCUUGCAGGCGCUUGGCCCAGUAGCGAUGGGAUCGAACGUAACGCGAGUUUGAACAAGGAUUCGAAUUUUUUAUAAAUAUCUCAAAGUUAUUAAACUUUCCGUUUAUUUAAAAUUAAUUAGUUUCUUUAAAAACAUUCUCGUAUUUCUGUUGUUUAAACAUCAUUUCGUAUAUUGUUUUUCACCGGUUAAAAGUAGAAAAAUUAAAAUAAAAUAGGAAUUCUGUUUGUUAUACUGUAUCGUAAUUACUUAUAAAAGAUUCGAUUGAUUUUAAUAUCAAAGUAUUCGUUACGUGCAGAGUUGUAUGAUAUUUAUUUUAAGAUUCGAAACUUAUCAACACUCUUCCCCAUUUGAUUUACAAGUAUACACUCACCGACGAAACAAAAAUAAGAUUUUUCAUCCUCCGAGAUAUUGGAACUAAAAAUAACGUAAGAAGAUAACAGCCUAUACAUCAAAUAUAAUAAACAAUAAAUCUUUUUUCAAAUACGCAUGCAUAAAGACUAAAUAAGAUAAAAAAAAUGGGAAGAAAUUUGCAAAUAAUCAAGUUUGUUCCUUAACUUUUCAGAGUAAAUGCACAUCCUGGAAUUUUAUCCCAUCACUCGUUGGCGAGCACGAAAGCGUGUACGAAAAGGAGGAAGCACUGGGGCAAGGAGGAGACACCAACUCCCUUGACGUCCUUCGUCGGUCGCCACAGUUUGCUGACCCGGUUCGAAAAGAGCAAAAAUCGAUGUCGAUUCGAGGAGGAAGGGAAAGAGUAGUGGCCAAAAUCGACCAACCGGUUGACCACUGCUACGUAUAUACCCUCAAACUCUCUUCGCGGUAAUCUCGUAGACUAUUUAUACCGUCUUCCCGUGCCGCCUUUGAACCGAACGGAACUAAAACUACCGGUACACUGCACGCUCGAUGCAUCCGGUCUAACCGCCUAUCGGUUAUACUCGUGUAUUGAUCGCAGUUAAGGAUCCAUCGUUUCUAUCGAUGCCUACCGUCGAUGAAUUACAAUUAACCGUGAAACGUGUUACGGAUUUCCAUUCGUUCGCUCAUGCUACAUGCUACGUAGCCAUCUUGGAUUUUCGUUAAUCGAUAGAGAAACUCGUUUGCGGUGAGUAAUCGAUUCAAAAGUGGAAAAACCGAAACAGUCAAAGUUGUGCAAAUAUCGGGAAAGAAAUUGUUUUCGAAACGCAAUGACUCUCGAGUCGCAGAGACUUUCUGUCGACUCAGCGUCCUUGCGAGAUAUCGUUGCCAGAAAUUGACUAAUAAUACAAAUUAAACACCUCCUGGCAUUAUUACAUCAGAAAAUAAGAAAGAACAGGGAAGAACAGGGAAUCAUUUGUAACCUUUCACUGGUUGCCGCAUAGAUAAUCGUGCAACAAUCUCUCGACGCCUUCCGCGCAGUGAUAACGUAUUAUCAGCCUCGACUAAUCUCUCUAGGUUACCUUCUCACAAUGGGAAACCCUGUUACGGUAUCUUCGGUAAAUUCUGUAAGUACAACAAGCCGUGGCGAUACGUACCUGGAACACAAACGAAAAAUUUAUCGUUAGAUAGGCGAGAAAUUGUGAAAAGGCGAAAAAAAGAAAAAAAUACGGUCGGUCAAACGCCUCUCGUUUUCUCCUUCGAGCGAUAAAGCAUCCGCGAAGGCUGUGGAAGGUUUGGUGCAUCGAACUCGGUCGCGCGAGUCACAUGCAAAUUAGCUGAGAGAGGAAGAAGGAGGAAGAAGCCCGUUGGCUCGUUCUCUUGGUUUCGACGCGACGACGGGAAGCAGAGGUCUCCAAGGAGGAGACACACGAUCGAGCAUUCCCGUGCACACGAGGAGGAACGCGUCCACGCGAGAGGAGAACGCCGGUUUAUCCUCGACUCUCGACACGUUACGGCCGUAUACGUGUAGGAAGGAGCUAUCGAAAAUCUCAAAUCCCACUAACCUCGUUGGCGAGCUACCAAGCCGAUGGUGCACGCCUUCGGUACGGAUUUCUUUACGGCCCGCUGGGAAUUUAUUUCUUCUUUACGUGCGACGGAUAUAUAUUCGCGAUAGCAGCCACCACGGGUAGCCGUAUGCGAGAGAAACGCGGCGAGAACCGUGUUGUUGCUUCCCCUAGGACGCUUUAACGACCACCAAUUCUUUCCACGAUGAUACCUUUCCCCUUUUCUUUUCUUUUCUUUUUCUCUUCCAUUUAUGCCGCUAAUAAAAUGCAAACGAUGUGUUUCUUCGCAAAAAGAAAAGGACGAAAAUGUGCCAAUCGAUCGAUGGAGCUUACGAUUAUUCGUGGACCAAUUUGAUUGCUCGAAAGGGGAAUGAACCGUAGUAAAAAAGCAAACGAUUCAAUUGUAAACUCGGUGGUGGUCGAAAAUUGCCACUGGACGAUGAUAGAGCGAGCGAGUUAAUCCUGCGAGGCGUGUUUGUUAUUUUCUAAUGGAAAUAACUGCGGCGGGUGAAAUUAACUCGAUUUCGUAUCCGUGCACGGGAGAAAGAAGCGGGGAAUAGGUGUGUGGAGUGGGGAUAUCGAUCGCGGAAUAGUCGGAGCAAUCGUCGUUAAACGGGUAGAAACUCGGCCGUGUGACGUAACAUCGCUUUAUAGAGAGAGACUAACGAUUAUUACCUUCUUCCCCCUCCCUCUCUCUCGGUUAGUUGCCGGUUUUCAUCGUUGCCAGCGAAAGCCGGCGACCACGUGAAAUUGUGACAAGUACUUAAGCGUGUCGCAAUUAUCUUAGACGACGCUUAACUGCGAAUCCGCUAGCCGUUUUUGUAUCGCGCGCGCUUUGCCAUUUUCUUUAUUGUUCUAAACACGAAUGCGGCCGCAUUCGAGACACGUAACGUUUAACUUUACCACGUAACGCGUAGUCUUCCUCAAACACUGCCUCUCCUUCGUGGAGAUCGAUGAGAUUCCCGUUUUUCUCUUUGCUCGUAAUUCGCAAACAUUUCGAGCAUCUACGCGAUGAAAGAUACGCGUCCAAUCAGGUGAAUUCAUUAAAGAGGAGCGCGUCGUCUCGAUACUCUCGACACGAGAGAGGGAGCCAGCUCGAGAAACCGGUUAUCAAUUACCACUGAUUCGAGGCCGUUCCGCAAAACAAUCGGCAAAAAUUCCGCGUUCCGUGGCCCCGUGCCGUCGAAACGCAACUUAAUCACGAAGGAAAACCGCGGCCAUCUUUGAUUAUUUUACAAGCGUUCGUUGCGCGCGCAAUUAGGACCAUAAUGGGGAUACAUUUGCAUCGUGGUAGUAACGAGAGGAUUCGCUUUAUCCGAGAUCAUUCGAUAGCAAUUUGUUCCCAGAAAUCGUGUCAUUUCUCGCCGCUUUCGAUUCGAAUUAUCGUGAAACGAGACGAUAAUCUAUCCGAGUUGGUACGAGUGUUUAUGACGCGCGUCAAAAUAAAAUUAGCCGUAUGCAUAAUGCAUAAUGCGUAACUCGACAGAAAUAGUUGCGAUAAACAGUAAACCGAGUUACAAUUUUGUUUUUUCGUUUUUCAUUUUUUCUUUCUCUCUCUCUCUCUCUCUCCCCUCGUUUUUGCGACGACGUGAGAACUAGCGAUUCUUUCACACGUUCUCGAUGAGGAAACCAGAAUGAAAAGCAAAUGGUAGUAUUCCAGAUGGGUCAAGCGUAGCCACCUUAAGGACGUUCUAUUCUUGGAAGCUGCAUCUAUCAACCGUUAGCCGUGAUAGCUUCUUUCCUGAUGAAUCCACUAUAUUUUGCCGUGCAUCGCGCGUUCCCCGUAUCGCCGUUUCGAUUUAUUGCUUUAACUUGACUUUAAUUGCUUCGCCGAUACUCCUCGUGUUUUCUUCCACUCGCUACUUCAGUAUUAUAAUUUAUCAUUCUUCUGGCUUCGAAGACCUGUGUUUCUUUCCUUCGCGAUUAGAUGCACUUGCGUGUGAAUUCGCGGCGAAAACGAUCGUGCGCUCGCUAGACGAGAAAAUUGAGAGAGGAUUGAAUCGAGGAUAAAGUUGUGCGAAAAAAUCAACGACCCCUGUAAAGUUGGUAAAUGAAAAAACGAAAGCUGCUUAUUCGUAUAUCCAACCUUUCGAACAACGAUUCGAUGAUAUAUCUUCCGUAAUUUUGUUCAAUUGGAAUAUAAAACGAAUUCACACUUCGAAUAUUUCCACGGGUAAAAAAUGCUCGACAACGGAGCAAGCGUGGUUUUCGCGGGAACGUUUGAAUAAAAAUAUUGGCCACAUGUUGCGACUUAAAGAAGGCGGACAAUAAAGUGGCGAGGUUAUUAACGUCAUAAUUAUUAGCGGAGAUAAGUCGUUCACGAGGGACUUAAUGAGUUUUCCGAAUGAACGAUUAACUCGAGAGGCCGAGGUGGUCGUGAUUUAUAGCUCGAGUGAAAAAUGAAAGGAUACGUAGCGUAUUUGUAUGUGAGACGCGUGGGCGCGUUUCACGUUCGCGUUUCGGUUAAGAGGAAAGCAAACGACGACCGAAAGAGCAGAAGUAACGAAAACCUGAAUCCAAUUUAUCGUGAUCCUUUCAAUCGCUCGUUUCGAUCAAGAUUGGCCGAGUUCUCGAGAAGGAAAAAAGAGUGGUAGAAAAAGAAGAAAAAAAAGAUGGCAGAAAUUCGAUGGAAGUUUGACGAAACGAAAUGGUUGAACGAGAUGCGAGAGCGUCCAUACGGCGAAGGGACCGCAUCCGGGGCAAGGCGGGACCUGCAUCCGGUCUGAAAACGGAUGAGACCUGGUAUUCAAGUGCAAAUCAUUUCACGGCAUUGUGCUCGAGAGUUCGAGACCGUGGUAAUGACAAAAUCGUUUCUACAAAUACCAUCCAACUUCCAAAGAACCAGACUGGUCGACGCCUUAUUCUGAGAAAUCGCUCGACACAGUUUUUUGUCGAUGGUUUUUCGUGGAAAACGACGGACUCGACUCGAUUCUCUAUUCAUAUGAAGUUGGUAUGAAGACCGAUAGAUAGGUAAUUUACAAUUGAACGAAUAAUGAAUCAUUUCUAUCAACUUGAGACCACGAUGUGCGACACGUUUCUCAAAUACUUCCUCUGUUUUAUAUCCCGCACUAUGUAACAAGAUAAAUUUUCUUUUCAUUGCGCGAUUAACGUUAUUGGAUAUUCGCAAUUUCAUGUUCGAGAUUGCUCUUUUCCUACGCUUAAUUGGAAUGCUCUCAUUAUUGCGUCGAGAUCCGUCCAGACUUCUAAUUCCAUCCUCCUAGUAAAAUAUUUACAUAAUGCCGCCAAUUGAACCGUUGCAUCGAAAUCUCGAUGCGCAACUUGUAAUUUAAGUUGGUCGCUCCGAGGUAUAGCUUCCAAUUGCCCGAAGCGAUUCGUCCACUUAGGACAAACUAAGACGCAGUGCCGCUACUACCAACGGAUUGUUUGUGCCGCCUUUUCAAGGCAGACAUGGUGAGAAUACAGGUUUUUCGCAAUGGUUUCUUGGAAGACCUCAAAGUUACUUCAAUUUCUUAGCACAAAUCCUCUUAACAUUGUUCAAAUUGAGAAUUGUGGCUAUCGAUACCGUUAUCAAUAAAAUUAAUAUUAAACUACUAUUGAACGUAUAUAUAAAUAUAUAGUUGUUUAAUGGAUUUGUUGAUCAAAAAUUUAAAUAGUAAACAGAUUUCAGAAGUAAUAAAUUAGUUACGGUAAUUGGAAUUUUUGAAUUUUUCCAAUAUCGAUAAUUCGAUAUGUCGAUAAUAUCGUCAAAAUGUCGAUAGCAGAUGAUAAUAAUUAGAAUCCUUAUUUUUAAAGAUAUUGUUAACAAUUAUAUACGAACUAACGAUAUUUCAUUGCUUUUUUUGUAUAUUUAAAAUUAUUUAUUAAAAUACCAAUACAAGUGGAUUAGAAAUGGCUUAAUAUAAUUUUUCAAUAAAAUUUAUUUUUAUUGCAACUUUUAUUACAAAUAGCAUUUUUACGUAUCUUAAUAAUAAUUAAUAAGAAAAAAAUAAUAAUUUAUUAUUCAUUUCUAUUCGUUAAUAAUAUCCUAGCGAUAUAUCAAAAGCUAUGAAUAAGAUAUCGAUUAAGUAUCGAUAAUCGAUAGUCGCAAUUCUAAUCCAAUAUGGCGGAAACGUGCGAGAAACGUGAGAGUCGAUCGAAUUUUGUUCUUGCUAUUUUUCAAUAAUGAAGUGGAUAAUAAUUAUCAACGAAACGCAGUUGCGCAUUAAACAACGGAUACAGAUAAGAUUGGAACUUCACACAGCCUCUGUGCAGCGAGACGAAACUGUGUUCACGGUCUUGCACGAGUCGUUAAUGAAUGCAACUCAAUUGUAAUUCGAUUGACGUGAUGUGUAGAGGCGAGGCGCGACUCGUUGCCUCGUUCCUCGGUUCGCUUGUUCGCUUGGAAACAGCGGGAGGAAACGAAGAAAGGAAAAGAGAGAAUGGCGAGGAGGAAGAGGGCGGGUAUAAGGGUAAGCACCGAACCUGCCGAGGAAUAGCUUCACGCAUGCUUCCCACGUGACUCAGCCGCUCGAGCAUAGAUACGUAUCGUUUGUUCUCCCUCGUUUCUUCAUUUAUGCUCCCUUCGUCGUAUAUGAAUAUGACGCAUCUUUGGAAACUUCGAUUCAAAAGCCAAGCUUCCGCCUUUCUAAGAAGUAUCAUCGUUACGAGAAAUAUUACGUGGACAUUGUGAGGAAGCGAAAGUCACGUCCCUUUCCCGACAUGCGAAACGUUUUCGCAGGAGUCAGAAUGUGCGCAAAGCUCAACGAAUAAUUAAAAUUCUCAAACCUUGACGAUUGAUUGUUAAUUCAACAUCAUCCACGAUCAACAGCGAGGUUUCGAUCGAUUUCGAUUCUCGAGUAGUUCCACACUCGAAUACGCUUUGUUUACGAAUUGAAUGGCUAUUAUUAUAGGUCAUUCGCAUCUCUAAAUACUUCACGUAUUUUUAUUUAUUCUUUUUUCAUCGAUGUAUCAUCACUUAUACUGAUAGAAUGUAUAAUGUAAGUACAGAAUAUCAUUACAAUAUGUAUUUUUUAAUGAUUCAGUUUUUUCAUUUUAUAAUACAGAAUUUAUAUAUAAAUACAUUACAAUAUUUAUAUAUCCAAAAUGUAAAAAUUCUUACUAGUUUUUACGUAAAUACAAGUUAAAAAUUAUUCCUAUUUAUAUUCCCAUCACUGUGUUCACAACAAUAAGAAUGAUGAACAAUAAGAAAUGACUAAUUCGUAAAAUCCACGAUUCCUUCGAUUAGCCAUUAUAUCCAAUGUCACAAUAUGUCCUCGAUAAUGUUCCUGCUCGCAUCAAUACCAAAUAUUGCUAUUUUGCAUUUUCAGGAAACUCUCCGAUGCUAAAUUUAACAACACAAGGAAUUACCAUCUCGAUCGACAAUUGAGAACGAAAGAAGUAAAGCGUGAUUUACGAGCGAUUAGGUAUUUCGUAAAAACGUCACGACCCAAAGUGUCGCAAGUUAUCGAAAUAAGGUCGUUCACGAGCGUCGUGCACAACAACAGGCGAGAUCUGUAGUAGAAGGGUUGUUAUUCGCAGGUUAGUAUCGGUGAUACCUAAUCGCGUUUCGAAGGAAACCGAGACUAUAAAUCAACCAGCUUUCAAAACUGGUUGCUCGCCGCAGACAUGAUCUCAUUAAUACCGUGUGCUUCGGUCACGGUAAUUGGACAGUUCUUGGCGGUGCGAUCGACGAGUUUCGGCCAGUAUCGCGGAACCCACGCACGAAUUCGCGUAUCCCGCGUCGUGACACGAGAUUGGUAACGAUAUACGUGACGAAACCGAGAAAGGCAGUCGUCGAUCCGAGUCGGCCUCCUUCGAGAACCAUGGCCGUCAGUCGAUACGAUUACUCGUGACAUUUAGAAUCUAUAGCUAAUAUCCACGACUGAGAACAUUAGCUGCGUAACCCAUAUAUCAUCAUAUAUCACCGGGUAUAAAUGUUGCGUAUCAAAAUAUGAAGAAUAACUAGAUGUAUGAUCGCAAUAGUAAAGAAAAUUAUAGAAUCUUA